CACAAGUCCUGCAUUUGUUCACAGCAGCAGCUCCUCUUAAACUGCCUUGUGCUUCAGAGGAUCUGCUUGCUGAGGAUUUGUAAGAUGUGGGCCUAAAAUAUUUAAUUUCAGGAAGUCAAGAAGUGGUUCCUGUCACCGAAACAGUUAAUCAGAAAGCACCAACUCUCCACUGCAACGUGUGUGUGCGUGCACAUGUUUUUGUUUUUUAGAGCCAGCAAGAUUUGCUUUGGUUUUUUUAAAGCAGAAAACACCAAAAAAGUUGGCUGUGGUUUCAGCUGCUAUCGCUCGAGAUUUGUACUGCUGACUACCAAUCCUAAAAGAGUUAACCUGCUAAGUAUGACUCAGAAGCAGAGAAGGAGAUGCGAGGCUGAGAGCCGGGGAGGAAGCGCAGAAACAGAGGUGAGGAACAGAAUAAUUGCCAAAAAAAGGUGCAGAGUCCAGGAGCGACGUUCCCUCCGGUCUGCCUGGCCCUGGCACCGCUGGCACGGGCUCCCUGGAAAGCUGCAGUUCCGCUCUUAUAACACAAGGAGCAGGCUGGAGAAUUUAGAGCUGCGUCACAGAGCUCAGCGAGAGAGUGAGAGAGCAAGCUCCGUCGAUAGGUCUACCAGCAACAGCCCUGCUGCAGCAAGAGGGGAGAGAGGCAGCAAGAGAGGCACAGAGGGCUCCAGGAAGAGAAGUGGCACCAACACCACGGACUGGGCUCCUGCCACCAUCCCCUGCCAUUUGCACCUUGUACUCGGGCUCGCUUGGCGUAGGAGGCUUCGCCCAUUGACGAUGCUGGAGACCCGGCGCGCUUAAUCCCACGGGGAGGGAGAGUGGGCAGACACCGAAAGGGUUAACGGGAAGGAAAUUUCUGGAACCUUCUCUUCUGCGGCGCUCCAGAGCGAGCGGAGGGCUGAGGACUGCGCAGAUGGUGCACGGGCACGGCUCCUCGGUCCGGUUCGUCUCCCUCACCACCCAGCAAUGAAGAUGGCAGCUCUGCCUGAAGUGCUGAGGACACAGCCAGCCUUGAGCUUGGUCCUUCUGGCCGAGGAAGUCUCCCGAUUAUGCAGUGGAGUGGUAACUUUGCUUUCUCAUACAAGAGGGACCAUUAUUCCAUAGCCUUUCAUCAUUCUGAGGCUUACCCAAGUUUCAGGAUGUGCUAGCAGAGGAGUUUAAUCUCCGUUACUCACUGGCUGCCAUCUCCAGCAUCAGGGUUGGUUGUUUAGCAACAACCGCUGGGCUCAGGCACCGCGCGGCCGCCGUCCCCAUCGGCUGGGCUGCAGCCUGGCCUCUGCAGGGUGCUCUGGGAGACAGGGAGAGAGGGAAGGGCUGGAUUUACACCCCAAACGGAAUUUCGGAGGUUUGGGCGCGAAGGCCGCAGGCGCUGCGGAUUUUUCGCGACGCCGUCCUUUGCGCAGGGCCGCCAUUUCCAACGGCAGUGCGGCGCAGGGACGGGGAGGGAAGAACCCAACAGACUGUACGUGCCACUCCCCACUUUCUUUCCCUCCUUUCCAUCUCCAUCUUUCCUCCUUCCCCUCCUUUCCUGCCAGAUUCCGUAGGGAAUUUCAGCCUCUUACUGCAGUCAUCACAACCCCUCCUGACUCACUGAGCCUUCGCUGGCUGUAGCUGGCUCCCUCCGAGCAUCCUUGCCUCCCGCAGCGCCAGAUCCGCAGAGCAGGGGAACAACAGGAACAGCAGCGACGGUGGUGGUCCCUGCAGCCAGACAGACAGGCAUAAAUACAGACACACACACAUGAGAACAGUCCCAGGCAGCUGUGGAGGGGGUUCUGUAUGGCCAGGAGCUGGACUAAGGCAUGAUGCUGGGUUGUGUGGAUGGUGGGUGGGUUGAGCCUGUUUUGCUGAGACAACUCUUUGUGGUUUUCCCCAUCGCGGUUGUGGGGUGGAGAAGCCCUGACUUUGUAAAGCUACUGCUGUUUCAUGGCUGUCAAGGAGGUGCCACUGGCUGCUGAGUGUGUUCAGAGCAGGGAUGUAUUUGGUUUAAUUCCUUCUGCCACCAUGUUCUGGCCGCAGCGAUGGUUUAACUGUGCCUAAAUGCAGGGAGGGUAAGGAGACGGAUAAAAGAGGAGUUAUUUCAAUGUUAAACUCCAGCUGUAAAUCUCAUUACCCAGGAAUUGAGGUUACUGUCAGCAGGUAAAUCUGUGGGACUGGCAGGAAACAAGGCUAAGAAGGGGACAUGGCACAUUUCUGUAGGACAGCAGUGAUUGUGUGCACAGCGGUGGCACUGGCACCGUGAGCUGUACCUGGGUAACUGUUCCGUGAUCAUUUUCUGCACAGUGCCACAAUAGGACUGGGGAAAGCUGUGAUUUCUCCCUCCCUCUGACACUUGUGUGUGUGGCACUGUAUGAGCUGAUUCAUUUCCCUGUAUCUGGGUUUCCCUGCUCUGGGGAGUGGGGUUUGCUCUGCCUCGGCCUUGGUGCAGCAUCGUGACGCAGCGUUCGGUACCACGCCGACAAAACACACGCAAUUUUCUCGGGCGUUCUGACCGCUCGGGGACCGCGGGAUUCGGGCAAGGAAGGGCAGGAUUUCACAUGCCCGUGAUAGAAAUUUAGAAGCAUUACCUCUUCUUGUCUGCUAGCAAAGGCAGGCUCUGUGAGGGACGAGGCAGCCAUGAUCUCCUCCUGCUCUUGUUUUGCCGAUGGUCAUGUUACAUCUGUGACGCAGACGAAUUUUGCUGUUGGUUCCUGUCGGUGCUUUAGGGAGUGGAGCUGAUGGGGGCAGAAGCUUGAAUAUGGUUAGAAACGUUCUUUUCAUACUGAUGUUAGAGUUUGAGCCACCCCAAAGGGUCAGGGGUAUCAGACCCACCUAGUGACCCCCCAAAUGGUGAAGGAAUUCGGAUGAGCCCCAGCACCCCUGGCCAUUUUGCUGCUCGCAGAGCAGGCUCGGAGCCUGCAGCUCUGCUGCUGCUGCUGUUCAUUUCCAUGUUAUACAAAUACAGCAUUGGGCUCUGUGUCAGGAGCUUUCUGAUGCUGUGAGAAGCUUAAAGUCUACAAGCAAAUGUUUUUCUUUUCUUAUUUGGGAACAUUCAUUAAAAUGUCUAAAUGCCAAGUGUUCUACCCUCUCUCCUCCGACAAAUCUCUCCCAGACCUAUCAAGAAAAUUCAGUGCUGCUGCGUAGGAUUUUUAAAACUUUAUCGUGGUGUUUUCUUACAGUUUAAUAUGGUUAUGGCUGGGAGGGAAAGAUUUAAUUUGGUUAAAUAUCUGUAAUGCUGAUGUUAACGGACAAGGAUGUAGGCAAGAGCUGUCCAUGUCCUCUUUAUCUCUUUAUAUAGACAGUCCCAAGCCCAGGCUGUGAGGAAUAAAGGGAAUGCUCUAUCCCAUUCCCACCCACCCAAACAAUUUCGGUGCAAAGGCAGCAGUAGAAAAGGCCAAGCUGGAAUGUCACAAAAUGGUUCCACCAGCACUCAGAGAUGCCAGUGCCGUUUAUCCUGGCACGGCUCCGAGAGCGGCACCGUGAGCCGCCUGCUGCAAGGUCAUUCCCCUGACUCAUGGUCAGCAACCAGUUGGUUCAGGAACUCCCAAUCUACUUCUCUUGCAACUGUGCCCAUGCCUGAACCUGGAGGGGAGGCCUGAAAAUUAACAUUACUGCAGCAGUGGGGGCACUGAGCCCAAAACUGUAGCUCCAAAAAAAUCCUAUGUCUCUGAAAGAUUUUAAAAUCCAUAUCUGUAAUUUGUUUCUUGCCAGCUCCAAAAACUUUCCACUAGUUCCCUCAUCCCCUUUUCCCCCAAAACUUCCUCUGCACUGCUGGGAACCAGGAGUGACACAUAUUUAAGAGCUCACACUCUGUUCUAGGAAGAAAAUCUCUGUGUAAUUUGCAUUUCUGUGGCUAUCAGGUGCACUGUGCAGGCUCUCCAGAGCCUGUCAAGCCAGGGGUGUCUCUCAGGUGCUUCCAGCGUCAGAUACCUCAGCUCAGGAGCUGUCUUGUGCCCUCCCAGGUUUCCCCAUUUUUCCCUGGUCUUCCUGUUUGCCCAUCUCACUCAUAUUUUCAGUUGUCUCAGGACAACACCAGCCGUGGAUAUGCUCAGGGCUGGCUCUGGCUCUCUCAGCCUCCCAGGCAGCAGAGGAGUGGUUAAUUCCUCUGAGCAAAAGAACUUAUUUAGUGCCCAAAGUUCAACAGGGGGGCAGGUUCUGUGGACAGAGAGGGGCAGGGGGAGCAGCCCCCUCCUGCUCCCAGAGCUGCCAGCCCACCCUGCCAAGCCCCCAGCCUGACCCUGCUCACAAUGAGCCUUCACCUUCCCCACGGUUAUUCCCUGGUUUCCAAAGGGACAGAACCUGGCUGCCAAUCCCGGUGCCAGUGACGGCUCCUCGCCUACAGGGAGGCAGAUGUGAUGGCUUGUCUGCUAAAAACUGAGCCAACACACUGUGAUUCAGCCCUCCAGCUUUCCAAGGAAGAGCUAUUUCUGAGUGAAGCUCAUCUCUCCAGCUCCCCCCACAAACACUCACAGCACUCAGGAGUCCAACAGCAGCCACUGUUGCAUUUGGGUAUCCAGCUCAGAUGUUUCUUAAACACUGACAAUGGCUCUUGGACACACGGGGAUGUUUCAGGGAUGGAAUGAUGGAAACCCUGGGAACAGGGACAGACCAGCAGCUCACACGCCCGGGGGAGUCAGCCAGGAGUGUUUGGUCAGUGCUUUUCUCCUGCUGUUUUGCCAGGUCCUUGUACUGCAGGUACUGUUAAACUAAAGGCUUGUUUUCAGAUGUCUGGUUUAAAGGCAGGUUAUACUUCAGUGAACAUCAGGCUGGGUUUGUUUCCUUAUGCUCCUCCCUGGCACAGGACAUUCUUUUGUCUCUAGAAUGACACAAAAGAAAAAUAUAACUUCCCUUGCCAUUACCUGGAGGAGCUGGAGCGGUGGUGUUGGGGGAACACCAUGUUCCUGAACUGACUGUACAAAUCACAACAAUCAUCUCCCUGUGAGAGCUUUCAAGCCCUGCAAUCAGUACUUUACAUUCUAAAGUGAUGCUUAGGUACAGGAGUUAGGAAUAGAAAAUGGCCUUUCUGGUUGCAGGUGCCUAGGUGGAUCAUUUGUUUGAGUGGAGUGAGUUUUGCAAUGUGCUGCUCACUCAGGCUGUGUAGGGCUAAAUUUGAUGAGUUUUCCUUCCUACUGCCCUCCCCUGACCUCUAGCCAUGAAAGUACAGUGUUCUUCCUGAGUUUGCCCAGUUUCACCUCACUGUUCCCUGUGAAAUCUGAAAUCCUCCACAGGAUCCAGGGCUCAGCAGUUCCUGUGCCCUCCAAACAGGCUCAGGGUUUGCCCAGGAACUCUCCUGAGAGCAAAGCUGGGGGAGAACUGGAUGACUCCAGGCAAGCCAAAGCAAUUUCAGAUGAGCAGAGGGGAUCACAGGAUGGGGAAGUACAGCACUAAUAUCUAAGCACACCUCUAAUGGUCACCAUGCUAAAACAGACACUGCAGUGUGCUCUGACAGAUUCCCCUUAACAGGAAUUGAAAUCAGUGACUCAAACCAAGCAGGCCUGACUGUCCCACUGCUCACAGUCAAAAGGGUCACAAAGCCCCACAGGCUUUUACCCCCAUCCUGUCCCAGUGUGCAGCCUGCCUUGGGUUUUGGGGGGUUUCAGACACAGAGUGUCUGAGUUUUAACUCCAUUUGUACUGCAGUUGUAAGGCUGCAAGAGGAGGACUGAAGGAAUAGUCUACAUUCAAUUCAGGAUUGUAAUGUGGAGUUUUUAUUGUGGUCUUAAUAAAGGAGAAAAGUAUCUCCCUUAUACUUUAAACUCGUGAAGAAAGUACCUGCUUUUGCUGCCCAUAAGAGCAGUGGCCUCUCCAGAGGCAUCUCCAGGCACAAAUAUCAAUUUUCCACAGCAGUGCAGCCCCCAGUCUGCCUUCCCUCAGCCCAGGCCGGUGCUCUGACACACCAAGGGCUCCACACUGAGGACUGGCCCUCAGUGCAAGUCACAGCACAUUUGUCCACAGCUGACCCACGCAGCACCAGACUUGCACAACAAAGAGAUGCAGUUACAGGCUCCCCACGCUGAGGAGGCCUUUUUUUGAAACCUUAGAAGUUCAUUCAUUUCCAUUCCCCUUACAGGUCACCACUUGUACUGUCACACCCCUUGUCCUGCACCUGGCACUGGGCUGAUUCAUUCCUUCACUGGGAGGAUGAUGCAUCAAGCUCAGAUUCUCAGCAUGUAAAACAGGGAUUAUUUUCUCCAGGGGAGAGCAGAGCCUGGUGAACCACGAGUUUCACCCUGUGAUGUGAAAAUGGAGGAAAAAAUUUAUGAUGCACACUGAGAUCUGUUUUGCUUUCUGUAAAAGCCCCGGAACUGCCUUUCUAUAGAAGGUGCAGCUUGUGCAAAAUCAGGUCUGUGACAUCCAGGCUUGCCUUGUUCCUGCAAACUGAAGGUCUCAGGGUAGGGAGGAAGUUCCCUUUCACAGGGAAGGCAGGGAUUCCCUUUUUGUCUUUGUCUCCUAUGGAAUGUAUAAAGCAGUGUGAAGUCCAUUAAAAGCUUUGAGUUGUUCCUCUGAAAGAAGCUACAGAACAGCACUGCCACUAAAACAUCUGAAAAGAAGGCAAACCCACAGAAUAUUGUACUUUCCCUACUGUUAUUUAUGGGAAAGUCCAGACCACUGUGAUAAAGGCAAGCACAGGUGACAGUAUUUGCUGCUCUCCACACAGCAAAAGUCUGAGAACAGCAUGGAUUCAUUUUCUUCCCUGUGACAGUACAGAGGGGCUGGGAUGGAAUUCCAGAGCAGCUGUGGCUGCCCCACCCCUGGGAGUGUCCAAGGCCAGGUUGGAGCAGCCUGGGACAGUGGAAGGUGUCCCUGCCCAUGGCAGGUGUGGCACUGGGUGAGCUUUAAGGUCCCUUCCAACCCAAACCAUGCUGUGCUCCUGUUUUCCUGCCCAUGUGCACAUCCCCAGCAUCCUGAACUGCUCCUUCCUCCUGCCCAGACACAUUGGGAGCCUUGGAAAGGAGAGCACAGAUGGAUGUACCCUUCCCAAAUGUGCACCUGCACCUUGCCAAGAAGGGCUGACACCUUCUGGGGAGCUUGUGAAGGCAACAGGACAAACUCCAGGUAGCCUGGAGGAGGGGCAGCAGCAUCUUAAUUAUGCUGAAGUGAAACCUGGUUUUAUCAAAACUAUAAAUAAUAAAUGAGCCAUUGGUCUUCAUCUGCUGCAUGAUAUUUCUGGAAAGGUUGGUCUCCUUUGCAGGGGGGGAAGAUGUGCAGAGGUGUUCAGUCCUUCUAAGUCUCAUGCUUGGACACAAGUUCCCAUUUUCAGCAGCACAACAUUAAGUGACAUUUCCUCCAAGUAAUUUUCAAAACCCUAAUGAAGAUUUGUUGUAAUGCUUACUACUGAGGCAAGGAAAAACCAAAGCAAAGCUCACUGUGAGCCUGUUUCUCAGAGAUGCUGCUGUGAGUCUGUGAUCCUGCACCUGCAACUCCUGGUGCAGCUUUUCAGGAGUAAAUCUCACCUGAUAAUAGAGGGUGCCUCCUAAAUAACUGUGCCACAUGGCAGGCACUGGGGAGGGAACCUGCUUUCCACUCGUCUUUCACCCUGUUGCCCCAGAUACUGGAUUUAGAAACGUCAGUAAAUAUCCAGACACAGGAAUCUAGUCCAGUUAUUUCCCCUUCCUCCACCCCUCUUUCUUGGAAGGACAAGCUCUCGUCUCUGAGCUCUCCCUCUCCUGCCUGGGAGUGUGCAUUAGGAUGGAGGCGCCGGAGCAGAAUUUUGGAUGUGGUUACAAGAGGAAUACACAGAGCUGCCAAAACCCCAGGGCAUCAAUAAGUGGAACUGCUGCCUGCAGUUGUGCUUUGUUCCAUUUCACAUUGGCCUCUACUCCAGCACAGGUCAGACACUUAUCCAAGGGUUGAUAGGUCCUGAAUUAUGCAUGUGUGGAGUUCAGAGGCUUCUCAACACCCCCUCUAGUCCCUCUGCUCUGAGCUGUGGACACUGCAGGUUAAGUGCUCAGCCCUGCUGCAGUUCCAGGAACCAUCAGCCACUCAUUUUCACACUCUCCUUCCUCGACAACUUCCACUGAACCAUUUACAGCUCAAUUUGUGAACGCUCCUUUUUCGUUCUGACCCACACUCAAAGUGCCUUCAAUCCAAUUUAUUUUCAUUCUGCCUGCAGAAUUUAAAAGUUGUCUCACAAAAGUCUGCAAGUCCUUGCUUAUUUAAAGCACAGGGACUGCUGGCAGAGGAAGUUCCAUCAGGACACUCACAUUUCCCUUCCCUGUCACAAAAAGCACCUGAUCUGUCCUGUACUCUCUGAUCAGUGAGUGACAGAAAGCCAGAACACUCUCUGUCUUGGACAGAAUGAGGUUUAUAGCCUGGUUUCAUCUGCAGUGAAAUGGAAAAAGUGUUCCUGUACCACACAAACUUCCCACACUCACCCCAUUAGCAUCGUGCUCUGCACUAGCAA
Taeniopygia guttata (zebra finch) is the source of this 8376-nucleotide non-coding RNA. The record is from RefSeq and is a predicted model, not a curated record. Lineage: Eukaryota; Metazoa; Chordata; Aves; Passeriformes; Estrildidae.